UGAGUACAAGAUGCUACGGCAUUGAAGCAGUCUAUGUCAUACUUCCAAGAAAAGCUUGCAAUGUCAUAAACAAAUAAUGCCUGUACCAUAACCGACACAGGUGGGUAGGUAGAGUAUACUAAGGGGCGCGAGAUAACUCUCUCUAAGGAACUCGGCAAAAUGACUCCGUAACUUCGGGAGAAGGAGUACCUUAUUUUAUAAGGUUGCAAUAACAAGGUCCAAGCAACUGUUUACCAAAAACACAGGUCUCCGCUAAGUCGUAAGACGAUGUAUGGGGGCUGACGCCUGCCCAGUGCCAGAAGGUUAAAGAAGUUGGUUAGCAUUAGCGAAGCUGAUAACUGAAGCCCUGGUGAACGGCGGCCGUAACGAUAACGGUCCUAAGGUAGCGAAAUUCCUUGUCGGGUAAGUUCCGACCCGCACGAAAGGCGUAAUGAUUUGGAUACUGUCUCGGAGAGGGGCUCGGUGAAAUAGACUUGUCUGUGAAGAUGCGGACUACCUGCACCUGGACAGAAAGACCCUAUGAAGCUUUACUGUAACUUGAGAUUGAAAUUGGACUUUAUUUGCGCAGUAUAGGUGGGAGACCUCGAAAGUAUUCUUGCGGGAAUAUUGGAGUCAUCAGUGAGAUACCACUCUUAUAAUGUUAGAUUUCUAACUUUGUAUCAUUAUCUGGUCAAAGAACAGUUUCAGGCGGGCAGUUUGACCGGGGCGGUCGCCUCCCAAAUGGUAACGGAGGCGCACAAAGGUUUCCUCUGAACGUGUAGAAAUCGUAUCUAGAGUGUAAAGGCAUAAGGAAGCUUGACUGUGAGACCUACAAGUCGAGCAGGGACGAAAGUCGGUCUUAGUGAUCUGACGGUGCUGAGUGGAAAGGCCGUCACUCAACGGAUAAAAGUUACUCUAAGGAUAACAGGCUGAUCUCCCCCAAGAGUUCACAUCGACGGGGAGGUUUGGCACCUCGAUGUCGGCUCAUCGCAUCCUGGGGCGGUAGUACGUCCCAAGGGUUGGGCUGUUCGCCCAUGAAAGCGGUACGCGAGCUGGGUUCAGAACGUCGUGAGACAGUUCGGUCCAUAUCCGGUGUAGGCGUUAGAAUAUUGAGAGGAGCCUUCUUUAGUACGAGAGGACCGAGAAGGACAUACCUCUGGUGUACCAGUUAUCGUGCCAACGGUAAACGCUGGGUAGCUAUGUAUGGAGAGGAUAACCGCUGAAAGCAUCUAAGUGGGAAGCCCACCUCAAGAUAAG
Molecule: ribosomal RNA, 1236 nt
Filed under: metagenome
Description: bacterial LSU rRNA
Rfam family: Bacterial large subunit ribosomal RNA
Source: RNAcentral